Rhincodon typus (whale shark) is the source of this 294-nucleotide long non-coding RNA. RefSeq lists it as uncharacterized. NCBI's taxonomy places the organism in Eukaryota, Metazoa, Chordata, Chondrichthyes, Orectolobiformes, Rhincodontidae. The record is from RefSeq and is a predicted model, not a curated record. The transcript has 3 exons.
GGAAAUGGAGUUUGAAGGAUAGAGAAUGUUAUCACUUUGUAUUGAAUCGGUCUGACCUGAACAAAACAGAGGAAUUCAACAAUGGGACACAGUCGGCAGAGGCCCAUUUUGAAAUCCAGUGUGAGUCGACAUCGGUUAACAACACAGCCACACAAGGUGCCUGUUAUUCCAUAAAUCAAUUGUUUCUGAGGGGUCUGGUUUGCCAUGCAAUGGAUCCUUAACCAAUGUGCGGAAGAUUGUGAGUGGAACAAACAGAUGAUAUGCUGAAAUAUGUUACAAGGAUUUUAAAGACAA